AUUGAACGCUGGCGGCAUGCUUUACACAUGCAAGUCGAACGGUAACAGGCCGCAAGGUGCUGACGAGUGGCGAACGGGUGAGUAAUGCAUCGGAACGUGCCCAGUCGUGGGGGAUAACGCAGCGAAAGCUGCGCUAAUACCGCAUACGAUCUAUGGAUGAAAGCGGGGGACCGUAAGGCCUCGCGCGAUUGGAGGCGCCGAUGUCAGAUUAGGUAGUUGGUGGGGUAAAGGCUCACCAAGCCGACGAUCUGUAGCUGGUCUGAGAGGACGACCAGCCACACUGGGACUGAGACACGGCCCAGACUCCUACGGGAGGCAGCAGUGGGGAAUUUUGGACAAUGGGCGCAAGCCUGAUCCAGCAAUGCCGCGUGCAGGAAGAAGGCCUUCGGGUUGUAAACUGCUUUUGUACGGAACGAAAAGGCUCUGGUUAAUACCUGGGGCUCAUGACGGUACCGUAAGAAUAAGCACCGGCUAACUACGUGCCAGCCGCCGCUGUAA
RNAcentral lists this ribosomal RNA (498 nucleotides) under uncultured bacterium. Its description in RNAcentral is "partial 16S ribosomal RNA". It matches the Rfam family "Bacterial small subunit ribosomal RNA", at positions 30 to 523 of the family's 1533-position model. The record is from RNAcentral.